AAGACAUGCAAGUCGAACGGGGGUGAGGAGCUUGCUCCUCAUCUAGUGGCGAACGGGUGAGUAAUACAUCGGAACGUACCGUGUAGUGGGGGAUAACGUAGCGAAAGUUACGCUAAUACCGCAUACGAUCCACGGAUGAAAGCAGGGGACCUUCGGGCCUUGUGCUAUACGAGCGGCCGAUGUCUGAUUAGCUAGUUGGUGGGGUAAAGGCCCACCAAGGCAACGAUCAGUAGCGGGUCUGAGAGGAUGAUCCGCCACACUGGGACUGAGACGCGGCCCAGACUCCUACGGGAGGCAGCAGUGGGGAAUUUUGGACAAUGGGGGCAACCCUGAUCCAGCCAUGCCGCGUGUCUGAAGAAGGCCUUCGGGUUGUAAAGGACUUUUGUCAGGGAGCAAAUCCUGGUGGCUAAUAUCCACCGGGGAUGAGAGUACCUGAAGAAUAAGCACCGGCUAACUACGUG
Molecule: ribosomal RNA, 461 nt
Filed under: uncultured bacterium
Lineage: Bacteria
Description: bacterial SSU rRNA
Rfam family: Bacterial small subunit ribosomal RNA
Source: RNAcentral